RNAcentral lists this ribosomal RNA (301 nucleotides) under uncultured bacterium. RNAcentral describes it as "partial 16S ribosomal RNA". It matches the Rfam family "Bacterial small subunit ribosomal RNA", at positions 509 to 809 of the family's 1533-position model. The record is from RNAcentral.
CAGUCGCCGCGGUAAUACGGAGGGGGCUAGCGUUGCUCGGAAUGACUGGGCGUAAAGGGCGCGUAGGCGGCGGCCAAAGUCAGGCGUGAAAUUCCCGGGCUCAACCUGGGGGCUGCGUUUGAUACUUGGUUGCUUGAGUGGGGAAGAGGGUCGUGGAAUUCCCAGUGUAGAGGUGAAAUUCGUAGAUAUUGGGAAGAACACCAGUGGUGAAGGCGGCUCACUGGACCGACACUGACGCUGAGGCGCGAAAGCGUGAGGAGCAAACAGGAUUAGAUACCCGCGUAGUCCCUGUCUCUUAUAA